Panicum virgatum (switchgrass) is the source of this 351-nucleotide long non-coding RNA. RefSeq lists it as uncharacterized. The transcript is spliced from 2 exons. The record is from RefSeq and is a predicted model, not a curated record. NCBI's taxonomy places the organism in Eukaryota, Viridiplantae, Streptophyta, Magnoliopsida, Poales, Poaceae.
CGCGCCCCUGCGCCGCACCGCCGAGCGCCCCUACUCCGUCCGACCCUAAUGAAUCCUCCCAUGGCUUCCCCGUCGUCGACCCGCCUCGCCGUCGGCGAGAGCGCCGCCGCCAUCACCGCCUGUGGUACUGCUCCCGUCGCCGGCCCUCUCCGGUCGCCCCCAACCCCAACCAAGCCCACCUACAGGUACGAUAGAUGAACCACGUGAAGGAUGUGAUAUUGGAACCAAACACGAAGACGAUGUUUGGUGGACAUAUCCAGAAGAGGCAAAGAACCAGGAGUACAUGCUUGGACCGGAAUACUCGCCAAGCGAGUGUCAUCUAACAAACACUGACCUAGUGUUAAUCCCAGG